RNAcentral lists this small nucleolar RNA (79 nucleotides) under Phaseolus vulgaris (common bean). RNAcentral's name for it is "snoRNA snoJ33". It matches the Rfam family "Small nucleolar RNA J33". From Rfam's summary of the family: J33 is a member of the C/D class of snoRNA which contain the C (UGAUGA) and D (CUGA) box motifs. The record is from Rfam by way of RNAcentral. Lineage: Eukaryota; Viridiplantae; Streptophyta; Magnoliopsida; Fabales; Fabaceae.
CAGUUAGGGGGAUGAUGUAUUAUUAUCGGGCCCUUAAGGUGCUAGCCUUCCUUGAUAAAGCAUCUGAAAUGGACGUGAG